UGGGCCUUUUAAAAUCACAUAGCGACGAAAUGGCUUUGCAGUGAUUUUUGCAGCACCGAUUAUCGUCGCUAUGCGAGGCACCACUGUAUUUGUAUCUUCUUUCACUAUUCUACCAAGGCAGCAAUGCAUUAGAUUACAAACAUGUUAUCCUCACAACUUCCCUAUUAGGUAGGACUGAACUAAAUGAUGGAUGAAUGUCCUAACAGAGAGAGAGAGAGAGAGAGAGAGAGAUGUUUCUUGACCUGAGAAAAGUGAAUCAUGAAAGGUAACAGUGCUCUGAUCUUCACAUUUCCUGUUCGGUGCUGAUCAGGUCACGACCAAAAGAAACUCUUGAACAUACUUGUGCACAGAAAAGCAAGCCCUGAUAAACGGUUUCUGAGAAUACUUCCAGGCAUCUCAAUGAAGGGUUUAUGUUGGGGAAAAUAUUGCUGGUAUUAUAUCUGUCUGGAGUCACAUGAUUUCUGUUCCUUUCUAGUAUCAGCAGCUGCCCAGGACUCAGGGAAUUAUGCAAACUGUUACCACAUCACCACAGGAACCAUAACUGGAAUUGUUGUUGGAGAUAUUGUCCUCACUGUGCUCCUCCUGAUUCCCGUCUAUUACUGCAUCCGUCCGAAAGACAGCAGAACAAGUGAAAGAACAGAUUAUGUAAACAUGAUCGGAAAAUCUAUAUGACGUCACUUCCCAUUUGGAUCCGAUCUUCAAGAUCUAUAUGAACACGACUGGAAUGACCACUGUGUACAAAACAGACAAUAGCGUGUAUUUAUGUGUUUGCAGGUUGAGAUAUUAGGGGGGAAUCCUCCUUGUGGGGGCAACAAAUCCCCCAUAGCCAAAGAUUUUGGUCUUUUAUAUAUUGGAAGUGAAUGCUGAUGUUUUCCUGUUUUGCAGAGAUGGAAACUGGUCCCAUAGAUCCUUCAUUUCUAUACCUUACUUGCCUAUAUCAGUUCCCAGUGUGUAACAGCUACCUAGCAGCUGGCCUGCAAAUCCCAUCAUCCUUGCUCAUGCUGACAGGGGAUAGUGAGAACAGUAGUCCAGAGACAGCUUUGGGGUGGAGGGAGUCUGUUCUUAAAAGAAAUUCCUGGAGCAUGAUUUGAUAGCUGCAGCCUGUGGGCUAAAAAUGUGCACUUUAAAAAGCACAGAAAAUUGCCACUUUGUUAAUUGGAAAACUAUGCUUCCGUACAUUUGCAAACAUGUAUAUAAAAUGCAUGGA
RNAcentral lists this long non-coding RNA (1207 nucleotides) under Pogona vitticeps (central bearded dragon). Its description in RNAcentral is "lncRNA (ENSPVIG00000010545.1)". The record is from RNAcentral. Lineage: Eukaryota; Metazoa; Chordata; Lepidosauria; Squamata; Agamidae.